RNAcentral lists this ribosomal RNA (424 nucleotides) under uncultured prokaryote. Its description in RNAcentral is "bacterial SSU rRNA". It matches the Rfam family "Bacterial small subunit ribosomal RNA", at positions 355 to 796 of the family's 1533-position model. The record is from RNAcentral.
UGGGGAAUCUUGGACAAUGGGGGCAACCCUGAUCCAGCCAUGCCGCGUGGGUGAAGAAGGCCUUAGGGUUGUAAAGCCCUUUCAGUCGUGACGAUGAUGACGGUAGCGGGAGAAGAAGCCCCGGCUAACUCCGUGCCAGCAGCCGCGGUAAUACGGAGGGGGCAAGCGUUGUUCGGAUUUACUGGGCGUAAAGGGCGCGUAGGCGGGCGAUCAAGUCAGAGGUGAAAGGCCUGGGCUCAACCUAGGAACUGCCUUUGAAACUGAUCAUCUUGAGUCCGGGAGAGGAUGGCGGAAUUCCCAGUGUAGAGGUGAAAUUCGUAGAUAUUGGGAAGAACACCGGUGGCGAAGGCGGCCAUCUGGACCGGCACUGACGCUGAGGCGCGAAAGCGUGGGGAGCAAACAGGAUUAGAUACCCCGGUAGUCC